This 236-nucleotide unclassified non-coding RNA is filed under the name Hevea brasiliensis (rubber tree). The record is from RNAcentral. Lineage: Eukaryota; Viridiplantae; Streptophyta; Magnoliopsida; Malpighiales; Euphorbiaceae.
GCAUAUGGAAGUUGCACACAUAAGACUCACCAUUGUUGGAGACUUUUGUGCUUUGACAUCUUUUGAGUCUUUGGAUGGCGAUACAGAAUAUAUUCUUCUUAGUUAGUAGAUGGGCAAGAUCAUAAAUAGCAGCUCGUAAAACCAGAUUUCUUGUAAUAAUCAUUUACCCUAUCAAAAUUUCAUGAUACACUAAGGUUCACAGUGCCUCUCCAUUUCGCAGCUUUGAUUUUAGGUCU